CCUUUAGGGCAGGAGAACACACGGCACUUGAGCCAGACUCCAGGUGGGACAGGUGAGGAGCCGAUGGCUCACAGCCCAGCCAAGGCAAGUGUCUGCUGCAGACGCCGUUCUCCUGCCCAGGUCAUUCUUGAAGCUCAACACAUCAUGGAGAAAAGGAAAAGCAAGAAAUGGCACAUUCUCCUGUGGCACCUGCAUCAAGGUGGCUGCUCUGUUCUUGCCUCACAUUUCUCCACAAGGAAGCCUAAGUGCUGUGGAACCCAAUGACGCCCCAGCCCAGACCUCUCCUGUGCAUCCAGCAGCCCUCUGCAGCACCGGCCCCGCCAUGCUGUCAUGUGCGCACUUCCCAGGACACUCCCAGGACUGUCACCAGGAGCAGAGAACUGGCUCCGCAGAGUAGCUGGAAGAGUCCCACCAUUGCCGUGCUCCUAGUGACUUUGGUGUUCUAGACAGGAAGUGCUGCGGUUUUGAGAAUUUGCCAGGUCCUGUUCACGCACAUGUGCACUCUCUUUGUGAGACCCCUCACCACACCUUGGCCCUCCCACUGAUAACUCAGGAUCAUCUCCUUUUUAAUAAAGACAGGUGGCCAUCAUUAAAGCACAGCAAGCCUUAGUGAAAAUCUCGCAUGCCACUGGGGAGCGCUGGCACAGGUACCCUUCACUUCUCCCAGCGGGUAGCUCUGUCUCUGCAGCUUCAAUUUUAAAGCAUUUUCGCCUUCAGGUCAGCUAUCAAUACACAUACAGACUUUUAUUUUCAAAAGAACUUGAGUUUGUUCAAUAGAGAACACAUUUAAAAAAAAACAUUUUUAAUAGCUGGGAAGAUGGUUCAGUGGUAAAACACUUCCUAGCAUGCAUGAAGUCCCGGGUUCAAUCCCCAUCACCACAUAAAAAAAAAUAAACACCAGCAAUGAAAUGAUUUUAAAAAUCUAGAAAUACACCUUGCUUUUAAAAUGUUAUUGAAGGCCGUGUUUGCUUUGCUGAAUUCCAACAGAAGGGCUUGGAUCUACAGUGAUAACAUCUUUUAGUGUGGCUUUGGGGAACAGCAAAUGUCAAAUCUUCCAAACGAUGGUUUGUUCCUGUUGUGUUCGUUGCAUUGCUAUAUGAUUAGGCUCAUGAAAGCUGAAGCAAAUUUUGCAACAGAUAUGUUUGGCUUGAGCUAAAUUAAAUAAACCCCUGGAAUUACCCAAUUGGCAAUUACUGCUUGGUGUGCCUCAUUAGGAAAGGGCACAGGGUUUUUAGUACCUCUCUGCAGGAUCCCUAAGUUAGGAGGAGUCCCAGCUGAAAGCCUGGUAAACACCAGGCGGGGUUUUUUGUUUGUUUGUUUGUUUUGUUUUGUUUUGCUGUUUUAGUAAUUUUGUGUUAGCUUCUGGGACAUGUCUUGAGCUGUCAGAGGUGCAACUGGAAAGGGGAGUUGAGGUUCCACUUCCUUCUGUGGGCAUGUGUGCCUUCUUAAGGAGGAUACUUGUGCUUCUGCAGCCCGUGAGCACUUGUCCUGAGCUGCUGCCACCUUGGGUGGGAGACAUUGGGGUGUCCUGGGCAGACUUUCCUCACCAGUCACAUGACUUUCC
Marmota monax (woodchuck) is the source of this 1564-nucleotide long non-coding RNA. RefSeq lists it as uncharacterized. The record is from RefSeq and is a predicted model, not a curated record. The transcript has 3 exons. NCBI's taxonomy places the organism in Eukaryota, Metazoa, Chordata, Mammalia, Rodentia, Sciuridae.